This 433-nucleotide ribosomal RNA is filed under the name uncultured bacterium. RNAcentral describes it as "partial 16S ribosomal RNA". It matches the Rfam family "Bacterial small subunit ribosomal RNA", at positions 29 to 507 of the family's 1533-position model. The record is from RNAcentral.
AACGAACGCUGGCGGCAUGCCUAACACAUGCAAGUCGAACGAGACCUUCGGGUCUAGUGUCGCACGGGUGCGUAACGCGUGGGAACCUGCCCUUAGGUUCGGAAUAACUCCCCGAAAGGGGUGCUAAUACCGGAUAAUGUCUUCGGACCAAAGAUUUAUCGCCUUUGGAUGGGCCCGCGUUGGAUUAGCUAGUUGGUAGGGUAAAAGCAUACCAAGGCAACGAUCCAUAGCUGGUCUGAGAGGAUGAUCAGCCACACUGGGACUGAGACACGGCCCAGACUCCUACGGGAGGCAGCAGUGGGGAAUAUUGGACAAUGGGCGAAAGGCUGAACCAGCAAUGCCGCGUGAGUGAUGAAGGCCUUAGGGUUGUAAAGCUUUUUUACCCGGGAUGAUAAUGACAGUACCGGGAGAAUAAGCUCCGGCUAACUCCGUG